This 513-nucleotide ribosomal RNA is filed under the name uncultured bacterium. RNAcentral describes it as "partial 16S ribosomal RNA". It matches the Rfam family "Bacterial small subunit ribosomal RNA", at positions 28 to 523 of the family's 1533-position model. The record is from RNAcentral.
GAUGAACGCUGGCGGCGUGCCUAAUACAUGCAAGUCGAGCGAACAGACGAGGAGCUUGCUCCUCUGACGUUAGCGGCGGACGGGUGAGUAACACGUGGAUAACCUACCUAUAAGACUGGGAUAACUUCGGGAAACCGGAGCUAAUACCGGAUAAUAUAUUGAACCGCAUGGUUCAAUAGUGAAAGACGGUUUUGCUGUCACUUAUAGAUGGAUCCGCGCCGCAUUAGCUAGUUGGUAAGGUAACGGCUUACCAAGGCAACGAUGCGUAGCCGACCGUGCAGGGUGAUCGGCCAAACGGGAACUGAGACACGGUCCAGACGCCUACGGGAGUCAGCAGUAGGGAAUCUUCCGCAAUGGGCGAAAGCCUGACGGAGCAACGCCGCGUGAGUGAUGAAGGUCUUCGGAUCGUAAAACUCUGUUAUUAGGGAAGAACAAAUGUGUAAGUAACUAUGCACGUCUUGACGGUACCUAAUCAGAAAGCCACGGCUAACUACGUGCCAGCAGCCGCCGUAA